GUUUCCGAGAGCCCUCCUACUUACUGUCAAGUGAACAAAGUUGGGGCCCACGUGAUCCUCCGAGCCAAUAGCCACCCCGCCUGCGAUUCCCGGAUAAGGAAAUCUGCUCACCCGGACCCCACUCCAGCCAAAGAGUUUUUGAGCUCUGGGAGCCGAGCAAGGGUCUGAAUCCAUUCCUGGGAUUACAAGGUUUUCCACUCUGAGAGAGGAAUAGAAGCAGACGGUCUGCCAGAGAUUCGAAGCCCGCGGCCGCCGGGGUCUGAGAGAUGCAUCCCUUCCAGAACAACGCAGAAUGCCACCAAACUCAUGAGCAAAUACAACAAACCAGGACCAGCCAUUCAACGGCCACAUGCCAGAAGCCUCUGCCCUCUAGAGAUGAGACUCCUGCAGGGUGGGCAGGGAACACUCCUGGCUGCUGGCAACCAGCUCCAGAGACCCUCUGUUUGGGGGGGGGGGCAUUUUAAAAAAAUAAACCAAAUCUGUUCAUUGCCA
Molecule: long non-coding RNA, 492 nt
Organism: Cavia porcellus (domestic guinea pig)
Lineage: Eukaryota; Metazoa; Chordata; Mammalia; Rodentia; Caviidae
Exons: 3
Source: RefSeq, a predicted model, not a curated record